GGAAGGAUCCCUAAACAGAAUCGUGCGGUAGUGCUGGUUCUUACAAGUGCACACCGCCACUUCUCUAUUCACCCCAUGUGCACCUCUGCGUCGCCGGCAUCUCCGGCUUCGCCUUAUUUACACAAAAACCUUUGUAUCGAAUGUCUUGUUGGAACGAUAAUAAAAUACAACUAUCAACAACGGAUCUCUUGGCAUCCCACUCGAUGAAGAACGCAGCGAAUUGCGAUAAGUAAUGUGAAUUGCAGAAUUCAGUGAAUCAUCGAAUCUUUGAACGCACCUUGCACCCUCCAGUCUUCUGGAGGGUAUGCCCGGUUGAGUAUUAUGAUCACCUCAAACCUCUGGCUUUCUUAUUGCAAAGGCCGAUGCUUUGACAAAGGCGCCCACCGGGGUGCUGACAGUUGGAGUUUGGCUUGGAGAACCGGCAGGUCUUGGACUUGAGUUUAUGUUGGUUCCAUAUGGAUCGACUCACUCGAAAUGCAUUAGCUGGCAACCCGCUCCUGACGGUUACCACUUGGCGUAGUAAGUCUUAUUCGUCAAGGACACCUUGCGCCUUCACAGGGGCAGGUGGCCGUUGUGCUGUGUCUUGAUGGCCGCUUCUAAUCGUCUCCGGACAACACACGAAACCUUUAAUCUCAACUCGGGUAGGACUACCCGCUGAACUUAAGCAUAUCAAUAAGCGGAGGAA
RNAcentral lists this ribosomal RNA (685 nucleotides) under uncultured fungus. Its description in RNAcentral is "eukaryotic LSU rRNA". The stretch from base 169 to 322 matches the Rfam family "5.8S ribosomal RNA". The record is from RNAcentral. Lineage: Eukaryota; Fungi.